Molecule: ribosomal RNA, 181 nt
Filed under: Lysinibacillus macroides
Lineage: Bacteria; Bacillati; Bacillota; Bacilli; Caryophanales; Bacillaceae
Description: partial 16S ribosomal RNA
Rfam family: Bacterial small subunit ribosomal RNA
Source: RNAcentral
AUGCCGCGGUGAAUACGUUCCCGGGCCUUGUACACACCGCCCGUCACACCACGAGAGUUUGUAACACCCGAAGUCGGUGAGGUAACCUUUUGGAGCCAGCCGCCGAAGUGGGAUAGAUGAUUGGGGUGAAGUCGUAACAAGGUAGCCGUAUCGGAAGGUGCGGCUGGAUCACCUCCUUUCU